GGGCUUCGUGACCGGUCUACACCGGGAUGUUCAUAACCCUUUGCUGUCCGACUCUGUUGCCUCCGGGGCGACCCUGCCUUCGGGCGGGGGCUCCGGGUGGACACUUCAAACUCUUGCGUAACUUUGCAGUCUGAGUAAACUUAAUUAAUAAAUUAAAACUUUUAACAACGGAUCUCUUGGUUCUGGCAUCGAUGAAGAACGCAGCGAAAUGCGAUAAGUAAUGUGAAUUGCAGAAUUCAGUGAAUCAUCGAAUCUUUGAACGCACAUUGCGCCCUUUGGUAUUCCAAAGGGCAUGCCUGUUCGAGCGUCAUUUGUACCCUCAAGCUUUGCUUGGUGUUGGGCGUCUUGUCUCUAGCUUUGCUGGAGACUCGCCUUAAAGUAAUUGGCAGCCGGCCUACUGGUUUCGGAGCGCAGCACAAGUCGCACUCUCUAUCAGCAAAGGUCUAGCAUCCAUUAAGCCUUUUUUUCAACUUUUGACCUCGGAUCAGGUAGGGAUACCCGCUGAACUUAAGCAUAUCAAUAAGCGGAGGA
Molecule: small RNA, 531 nt
Filed under: uncultured Davidiellaceae
Lineage: Eukaryota; Fungi; Ascomycota; Dothideomycetes; Cladosporiales; Cladosporiaceae
Description: eukaryotic LSU rRNA
Rfam family: 5.8S ribosomal RNA (bases 157-310)
Source: RNAcentral